Molecule: ribosomal RNA, 497 nt
Filed under: uncultured bacterium
Lineage: Bacteria
Description: partial 16S ribosomal RNA
Rfam family: Bacterial small subunit ribosomal RNA
Source: RNAcentral
GAUGAACGCCGGCGGCGUGCCUAAUACAUGCAAGUCGAGCGAACGGACGAGAAGCUUGCUUCUCUGAUGUUAGCGGCGGACGGGUGAGUAACACGUGGAUAACCUACCUAUAAGACUGGGAUAACUUCGGGAAACCGGAGCUAAUACCGGAUAAUAUUUUGAACCGCAUGGUUCAAAAGUGAAAGACGGUCUUGCUGUCACUUAUAGAUGGAUCCGCGCUGCAUUAGCUAGUUGGUAAGGUAACGGCUUACCAAGGCAACGAUGCAUAGCCGACCUGAGAGGGUGAUCAGCCACACUGGACCUGAGACACGGUCCAGACUCCUACGGGAGGCAGCAGUAGGGAAUCUUCCGCAAUGGGCGAAAGCCUGACGGAGCAACGCCGCGUGAGUGAUGAAGGUCUUCGGAUCGUAAAACUCUGUUAUUAGGGAAGAACAUAUGUGUAAGUAACUGUGCACAUCUUGACGGUACCUAAUCAGAAAGCCACGGCUAACUCCGUG